CUACGGGACGCUCCAGUAAGGAAUAUUGCGCAAUGGAGGCAACUCUGACGCAGCCAUGCCGCGUGCAGGAAGAAGGCCUUAUGGGUCGUAAACUGCUUUUAUUUAGGAAUAAACCCCCGAACGUGUUCGGGGCUGAAGGUACUAAACGAAUAAGCACCGGCUAACUCCGUGCCAGCAGCCGCGGUAAUACGGAGGGUGCAAGCGUUAUCCGGAUUUAUUGGGUUUAAAGGGUGCGCAGGCGGGCUAUUAAGUCAGUGGUGAAAUCCCGGGGCUCAACUCCGGAACUGCCAUUGAUACUGAUAGUCUUGAGUUUGGUUGAAGUGGGCGGAAUGUAGCAUGUAGCGGUGAAAUGCAUAGAUAUGCUACAGAACACCAAUCGCGAAGGCAGCUCAUUAAGCCAAAACUGACGCUCAUGCACGAAAGCGUGGGGAUCAAACAGGAUUAGAUACCCCGGUAGUC
This 459-nucleotide ribosomal RNA is filed under the name uncultured bacterium. Its description in RNAcentral is "partial 16S ribosomal RNA". It matches the Rfam family "Bacterial small subunit ribosomal RNA", at positions 339 to 795 of the family's 1533-position model. The record is from RNAcentral.